Molecule: ribosomal RNA, 447 nt
Filed under: Paenibacillus sp.
Lineage: Bacteria; Bacillati; Bacillota; Bacilli; Caryophanales; Paenibacillaceae
Description: bacterial SSU rRNA
Rfam family: Bacterial small subunit ribosomal RNA
Source: RNAcentral
CCCUACUCCUACGGGAGGCAGCAGUAGGGAAUCUUCCGCAAUGGGCGAAAGCCUGACGGAGCAAUGCCGCGUGAGUGAUGAAGGUUUUCGGAUCGUAAAGCUCUGUUGCCAGGGAAGAACGCUUGGGAGAGUAACUGCUCUCAAGGUGACGGUACCUGAGAAGAAAGCCCCGGCUAACUACGUGCCAGCAGCCGCGGUAAUACGUAGGGGGCAAGCGUUGUCCGGAAUUAUUGGGCGUAAAGCGCGCGCAGGCGGUCAUGUAAGUCUGGUGUUUAAUCCCGGGGCUCAACCCCGGAUCGCACUGGAAACUGCGUGACUUGAGUGCAGAAGAGGAGAGUGGAAUUCCACGUGUAGCGGUGAAAUGCGUAGAGAUGUGGAGGAACACCAGUGGCGAAGGCGACUCUCUGGGCUGUAACUGACGCUGAGCGCGAAAGCUGAACAGGCUUC